Molecule: unclassified non-coding RNA, 1041 nt
Filed under: Hevea brasiliensis (rubber tree)
Lineage: Eukaryota; Viridiplantae; Streptophyta; Magnoliopsida; Malpighiales; Euphorbiaceae
Source: RNAcentral
UAGCGGUUGGGAUUCCUUCCAAUUCUAGGUUGAAGCAGUUGGCUCAGACCAUUGGUUCUAACUCUAAAAACCUUGGCCUGAAUAACACUGUAUUUGGGAAGGUUAAACAAGUUAGCCUGUCUUCUAUUUUAAAACAUUCUCUUGGUAGUCCUACACCUUCUCCAGCUCCUCAACCUUAUCACCACCAUCAUCACCAUCACCACCAUAGCCAUCACCACCACCAAGGUUCAAGUGUUGCUCCUGCAAUUUCACCUGCUCCGAGGGCUGAGAAAGGUGGAUCAGUUCACCGGAAAGUUUCACCAGUAUCUGCACCAGUGCCAGCAUCUGCACCAGUGCUUGCACCUGCCCCUGUACAUCCAACUCACAAACGUCAUACGGCUCAACCUCCUUGUCAUUUCGGGAAAUACCCAAGGAAGGCAAAAAGUCAUCCUCCUGUGCUAGCUCCUGUUCAAGCACCAGUCCCUGCACCUCACAUUGCUCCCUCUCCACAUCAACAAAUACAUGCUCCAACUCCUGUCUUGCAUAAAAUCCCUGUAUCAAGCCCAUUGCCCUCUGUAGUGUAUGCUCAUGCGCAGCCUCCUCCAAGGACACCUUCAGUUGCAGAGCCUCCUCAGAGAACACCUUCAGUUUCAAACUUGACAUCUUCAUCUUCACCAGGCAUCUUUUCUUCAAACUUGUGGGUGCUCCCGCUGUUUCUACUUCUUGUACCGCGUAUAUAGCUUGCAGAAUGAAGGAUUUUCCUUCCCCUAGUCGCCGAAAUCUGCCUCCAGUAUGAAAGUGAGUUCCACCUCUAUCUUCUCAUGCAAGGCCAAGGGAAACCAUAUUUGAGGAGCUUUGCAAAGAGGGAACAAUGCCUAAAGGGCGUCGUCCCUCGCACCCAAAUGAAUAUAUGUGGUUGUUUGUACUUGUAAAUACUGUAUCGAAGAUUCAGUACCGCGAUGCAUUUUCAGGUUUAAGUCACAGAGGUGACAGGCCUGUAAUGACAUGCAUUACCACUGUUAUGUAUGAUACCUCUUGCGCAAGUGUAAAGAGGUGAAAAAA